GUCGAACGGUAACAGGAAGCAGCUUGCUGCUUUGCUGACGAGUGGCGGACGGGUGAGUAAUGUCUGGGAAACUGCCUGAUGGAGGGGGAUAACUACUGGAAACGGUGGCUAAUACCGCAUAACGUCGCAAGACCAAAGAGGGGGACCUUCGGGCCUCUUGCCAUCAGAUGUGCCCAGAUGGGAUUAGCUUGUUGGUGAGGUAACGGCUCACCAAGGCGACGAUCCCUAGCUGGUCUGAGAGGAUGACCAGCCACACUGGAACUGAGACACGGUCCAGACUCCUACGGGAGGCAGCAGUGGGGAAUAUUGCACAAUGGGCG
Molecule: ribosomal RNA, 320 nt
Filed under: Salmonella enterica subsp. enterica serovar Typhi
Lineage: Bacteria; Pseudomonadati; Pseudomonadota; Gammaproteobacteria; Enterobacterales; Enterobacteriaceae
Description: bacterial SSU rRNA
Rfam family: Bacterial small subunit ribosomal RNA
Source: RNAcentral